GUACAAAAUGACUCUCGACAACGGAUAUCUCGGCUGUUGCAUCGAUGAAGAACGUAGCGAAAUGCGAUACUUGGUGUGAAUUGCAGAAUCCCGUGAACCAUCGAGUCUUUGAACGCAAGUUGCGCCCGAGGCCCUUGGGCUGAGGGCACGCCUGCCUGGGUGUCACCAA
RNAcentral lists this ribosomal RNA (169 nucleotides) under Fiebrigiella gracilis. RNAcentral describes it as "5.8S ribosomal RNA". It matches the Rfam family "5.8S ribosomal RNA". Rfam says of the family: 5.8S ribosomal RNA (5.8S rRNA) is a component of the large subunit of the eukaryotic ribosome. It is transcribed by RNA polymerase I as part of the 45S precursor that also contains 18S and 28S rRNA. The record is from RNAcentral. Lineage: Eukaryota; Viridiplantae; Streptophyta; Magnoliopsida; Fabales; Fabaceae.